This 492-nucleotide ribosomal RNA is filed under the name uncultured bacterium. RNAcentral describes it as "partial 16S ribosomal RNA". It matches the Rfam family "Bacterial small subunit ribosomal RNA", at positions 29 to 507 of the family's 1533-position model. The record is from RNAcentral.
AGUGAACGCUGGCGGUAGGCCUAACACAUGCAAGUCGAACGGCAGCACAGUAAGAGCUUGCUCUUACGGGUGGCGAGUGGCGGACGGGUGAGGAAUACAUCGGAAUCUACUUUUUCGUGGGGGAUAACGUAGGGAAACUUACGCUAAUACCGCAUACGACCUACGGGUGAAAGCAGGGGAUCUUCGGACCUUGCGCGAUUGAAUGAGCCGAUGUCGGAUUAGCUAGUUGGCGGGGUAAAGGCCCACCAAGGCGACGAUCCGUAGCUGGUCUGAGAGGAUGAUAAGCCACACUGGAAAUGAGACACGGUCCAGACUCCUACGGGAGGCAGCAGUGGGGAAUAUUGGACAAUGGGCGCAAGCCUGAUCCAGCCAUACCGCGUGGGUGAAGAAGGCCUUCGGGUUGUAAAGCCCUUUUGUUGGGAAAGAAAAGCAGCAGGUUAAUACCCCGCUGUUCUGACGGUACCCAAAGAAUAAGCACCGGCUAACUUCGUG